Molecule: transfer RNA, 67 nt
Filed under: Neptuneopsis gilchristi
Lineage: Eukaryota; Metazoa; Mollusca; Gastropoda; Neogastropoda; Volutidae
Description: tRNA-His
Rfam family: tRNA
About the family: Transfer RNA (tRNA) molecules are approximately 80 nucleotides in length. Their secondary structure includes four short double-helical elements and three loops (D, anti-codon, and T loops). Further hydrogen bonds mediate the characteristic L-shaped molecular structure. tRNAs have two regions of fundamental functional importance: the anti-codon, which is responsible for specific mRNA codon recognition, and the 3' end, to which the tRNAs corresponding amino acid is attached (by aminoacyl-tRNA synthetases). tRNAs cope with the degeneracy of the genetic code in two manners: having more than one tRNA (with a specific anti-codon) for a particular amino acid; and 'wobble' base-pairing, i.e. permitting non-standard base-pairing at the 3rd anti-codon position.
Source: RNAcentral
AAUCAAGUUAGUUUAAACUAAAACAUCAGCUUGUGGAUUUGAAAAUAAAAAUACUUUUACUUGAUUA